UACGUAGGGUGCAAGCGUUAAUCGGAAUUACUGGGCGUAAAGCGUGCGCAGGCGGUUUUGUAAGUCUGUCGUGAAAUCCCCGGGCUCAACCUGGGAAUUGCGAUGGAGACUGCAAGGCUAGAGUUUGGCAGAGGGGGGUAGAAUUCCACGUGUAGCAGUGAAAUGCGUAGAGAUGUGGAGGAACACCGAUGGCGAAGGCAGCCCCCUGGGUCAAAGCUGACGCUCAUGCACGAAAGCGUGGGGAGCAAACAGG
RNAcentral lists this ribosomal RNA (253 nucleotides) under uncultured bacterium. RNAcentral describes it as "partial 16S ribosomal RNA". It matches the Rfam family "Bacterial small subunit ribosomal RNA", at positions 524 to 776 of the family's 1533-position model. The record is from RNAcentral.